Molecule: ribosomal RNA, 509 nt
Filed under: Cambarellus patzcuarensis
Lineage: Eukaryota; Metazoa; Arthropoda; Malacostraca; Decapoda; Cambaridae
Description: partial large subunit ribosomal RNA
Rfam family: Archaeal large subunit ribosomal RNA
Source: RNAcentral
CCUGCCCAUUGGAAUCUAAAAGGCCGCGGUAUUGUGACCGUGCAAAGGUAGCAUAAUCAUUAGUUUUUUAAUUGAAGGCUAGAAUGAAUGGUUGGACAAGAAAUAAUCUGUCUUAAUUGAAAAUAUUGAAUUUAACUUUUAAGUGAAAAGGCUUAAAUAAUUUGGAGGGACGAUAAGACCCUAUAAAACUUUAUAUUUGGGGAUAGUAGUUAAUUUUGUUUUAUUUUAUUAUUUAAAAGUAUUUGGUUGGGGCGACGAGAAUAUAAUAUAUAAUAACUGUUCUUAUUUAUAACAAUGCUAUUUGGUUUUAUGAUCCUGAUAAUGGAUUAAAGAUUAAGUUACUUUAGGGAUAACAGCGUAAUUUUUUUUAAGAGUUCUUAUCGACAAAAAAGUUUGCGACCUCGAUGUUGAAUUAAAAGUUCUUUAUAAAGUAGAGAUUAUAAGAGAGGGUCUGUUCGACCUUUAAAAUUUUACAUGAUUUGAGUUCAGACCGGUGUGAGCCAGGUUGG